This 228-nucleotide unclassified non-coding RNA is filed under the name uncultured Russula. RNAcentral describes it as "sequence contains ITS2". The record is from RNAcentral. Lineage: Eukaryota; Fungi; Basidiomycota; Agaricomycetes; Russulales; Russulaceae.
AUACUCUCAACCUUCUUGGUUUUUCUUUGACCACGAAGGCUUGGACUUUGGAGGUUUUUCUUGCUGGCCUCUUUUGAAGCCAGCUCCUCCUAAAUGAAUGGGUGGGGUCCGCCUUGCUGAUCCUCGACGUGAUAAGCAUUUCUUCUACGUCUCAGUGUCAGCUCGGAACCCGCUUUCCAACCGUCUUUGGACAAAGACAAUGUUCGAGUUGUGACUCGACCUUACAAA